This 369-nucleotide ribosomal RNA is filed under the name uncultured organism. Its description in RNAcentral is "partial 16S ribosomal RNA". It matches the Rfam family "Bacterial small subunit ribosomal RNA", at positions 527 to 896 of the family's 1533-position model. The record is from RNAcentral.
GUAGGGUGCAAGCGUUAAUCGGAAUUACUGGGCGUAAAGCGUGCGCAGGCGGUUUGUAAGUCUGACGUGAAAUCCCCGGGGCUCAACCUGGGAAUUGCGUUGGAGACUGCAAGGCUGGAGUCUGGCAGAGGGGGGUAGAAUUCCACGUGUAGCAGUGAAAUGCGUAGAGAUGUGGAGGAACACCGAUGGCGAAGGCAGCCCCCUGGGUCAAGACUGACGCUCAUGCACGAAAGCGUGGGGAGCAAACAGGAUUAGAUACCCUGGUAGUCCACGCCCUAAACGAUGUCUACUAGUUGUCGGGUCUUAAUUGACUUGGUAACGCAGCUAACGCGUGAAGUAGACCGCCUGGGGAGUACGGUCGCAAGAUUA